GGAGUCUUAUGGCUUGGGGAUAAAAACUGUUGAGAAGCCUUUUUGUCCUAGACUUUGGCACUUCCGUACCGCUUGCCAUGCGGAAGUAGACUAGUGAAUCAUAUUAGUGGUUUGCAUCCUAAAAAAAAAGCAUAGCUGUGUUUUUCUGCGUAACACACAUUAUUUGUCUACCAAUAUGAUGCGGAUCAUUGUCAGGUUAUUAGAUAUAUAAGCUUCAGUAACAACAGAACAACAUGGUUGUAAGAACACUUUAAAACAGGUCAUUUAUAAAUGUGUAGAAUGUGUUUGUUUUGGUUCCACACUGGUAAGUUAACUGAUGUAAAUUAGACAGUCACAGAGGAUUUCCUUCUGAAUAAAUGUUGAAACCCAGAAUGAUUCUCACCACUGGUUCACAUAACUAGACAUGAGCUGGACGUGAUCCUAACGCUGCCACCAAUGUAGUGGAAGAAAGUGAAAGAUGCAACAGCGACUCUAACCAGGGCUCAUACGUGGCAAAGUGAACUCUUAACGGUCGUUGCCAUGAAAGCCUAGUAGUCCUCUGGGCAGAGGCAGUAGGUCUACAAUGCUGGCAUAUGCCUUGUUACAACAGCCUAAGUAUAUAACCUGAUUGACACGACCGUAAUAACCAUCAUGAAACGGCCUUGGAAGUGCCAUAAGUGUAAGCCAACAUAAUUCAUUAUUUUACAUUAACAUGUCUAACUACAUUGAUAUGGCUUAAUAGAUCAUAGUCCAGACUCGUUAUAAUUGCAAAUACCAGGCAGUUGCAACAGGGACAUUUAAACCAAACAUAUUAUUUUUUGCAGGUCUUCUGUUUCCCCAUAUUUAUUGAUAAAUUCAUUUACCGUCAUGCAAAUGUAUCCCCAUUCACCAAUGAAAUACCUUCAUUGAUACCUUAAAAAUAACAUACAAAUACAGGUUUACACUCCAGUCUGGAAACCCUCAUAAAAUCGGACAUAGCAACAGUAUCCCAAAAUAUUAAGCGAAAACAAGCAGAGAAAACAGCAUUGGCAUUAAUAAAAAUAAAACCUGUAAGGCUAUUAUUAUAUUAUAUUUAAUUCGUUGACAACCUGUUUGAUUAACAAUAUUGGGUUGUUAACAUGUGGAAUACAAAAAAGGCAGUGUACAACACCAUUGCCCAAAAUGCUUUGCUCCAAUACGUUUCAAAAGAUUGUUCCGAAGUUUGCCCACAAAAAAAAGGUAUUUUCCUAUGAAUGAAGUCGCACAAAAAAUGUAUUUUCACACAAAUUAAGCCACACAAAAAUGCACGAAAUCUGCUGAAAUACUAUUUAUGCAUAUGUAACAGCGUAGGUUCCGUCCCUCUCUUCGCCCCAACCUGGGCUCGAACCAGGGACCCUUGCACACAUCAACAACCGACACCCACGAAGCAUCGUUACCCAUCGCGCCACAAAAGCCGCGGCCCUUACAACACAACGACGUCACUGAUUGAAACGCUAUUAGCGCGCACCACCGCUAACUAACUAGCCAUUUCACAUCGGUUACACUUAUUUUCACGACUUGAGUGUGCUAUUGUGUUACACCAAAACAUAGACGAAAUGUCACAUACAUGCUUGUCUGAAGGUUCAUAUUACAAUACGGAAGAGAAGAAUAGAUCUGCAAUAUUGAACUGAGCUUUAGGGUAGGUGAGGUACAGCGGAGGGAUCAUGAAACCAUGGGGCUAAAAUAGAUAUCUCUGAGGUUGGUUGAUGUCCCACACACACACACAGACUCAGAACCCUUCUAAAACAGACCCCUGGGGAUGAUCAGUCCAGUGGGGACUAGACUAUAGCCUACUAGAAUAUGAUAUAUCCAUCUUCAUGACUGGGGGAAUCAUUGUUGUGUUGUCAAAAUAUUUGUAACGCCACACCCCUAGAUCCACCUGCUCAGUACUCGAGGACAUUAGAAUGAUGAAUGGUAGCAAAGGUUUACAUAAUGUUUAGACUAAAUGUUUU
RNAcentral lists this long non-coding RNA (1949 nucleotides) under Salmo salar (Atlantic salmon). RNAcentral's name for it is "lncRNA (ENSSSAG00000100636.1)". Lineage: Eukaryota; Metazoa; Chordata; Actinopteri; Salmoniformes; Salmonidae. The record is from RNAcentral.